Molecule: long non-coding RNA, 1259 nt
Filed under: Mus musculus (house mouse)
Lineage: Eukaryota; Metazoa; Chordata; Mammalia; Rodentia; Muridae
Description: long non-coding RNA chr11:43721156-43722415
Source: RNAcentral
ACUUGGCCCUGGGGAACAGUGGCAAAACCAUCCAGGAAAACAGCCUAAACUUUUGGUGCAUGGAACAUGAAUUCUUAACAGAGAUUUCAGAUUUCCUUGUCUUUGCUAAAUACAUAGUAUGAAACCCCUUAAUUUUUCUUGUUUAAUGAAUGGAGAACACAUGAGAAAAUCAGAUGGACCUGUUAGUACUACAUUUUUAAAGCAUUUUAUAUUUGAUGGUGCCGUAAUUUUAAUAAUAAAACUGAAGAUUUUUAGUGGCGAUACUGAUUUAUUUUUUAAACCAGAAAGAUAACAUCAUAUUGAUUACUUACUACAAAAAGAAAAAAAAAAAAAAAGAAAAAGAAAAAAAGCCAAAAGAAAAAAGAACUAACUCACUGUACUCAUUCAAAGUGACACAAGUGACAAAUGAGCGCUUAGCUCAAGAGGUCACUCCCUGUGAUCUUUCUGUGUGGGUGAGAGUACCCAACAGCCCAUUGCUCAGGAUUAGGAAAUGCUCUGGGUGAGACUUUUAGAUCAUUUACUAUACCUGACUGUGAUUUGAUUUAUAACUCAAGAAGAAAAGCCGGGUAGUCUGGAGUCUAGUGAGCUUAAUUCAGAUCCUAACACUGCACGUGCUGGGAAGUCCUGAUUGCAUUUUACAGUGAUCUCUUUGGAGACUUCACAUCAUGGCGUCAUCGUAUCAGCUGGGCUCAGGAACUGUAACAGCAGGGAGCUGUGGAGAAGAUGAAUCACAGCUCCAGGCUCUGGGGUCACUCUCGUCUUAGACCCCCACACCAGCAGUACCUCUCACGCUCACUCAGGAACCAGGUAUCUCCCAAGCCAUGUGGAAUCAUGCAUGGAUCGUAUCAGGAAGACCUCUAAGCUUUAGAAAUUUUUAUUUGUAGAGUGAUGGAAUUGACCAAAAAAUUAAAAAGGCAAAAGCACUGGGAGAGAUCAGGUUGUAAGAAUCUACAUUUUUUUUUUUUCCUCAUGGCAAAUCCUUAAGGGCCUUUUAUUACAAAUUAGAUUUUCAUUAAAAAAAUAAAGGAUACUUGGUGGUAUUUAAGAUCUAGGCCUACCAUGUUACAACUUCAUUUUUAUUGCUUUAGUUGCUUAAUAUUUAAGCUCUGCUUCAUGCUACCUUUUGUCUGUAUUAAAAUCUUCACAGGCCUAUUUCAUUUGUAGACUUGAAUUGUUUCUCACCUUCCAUCUGCUCAGAGUUAAAUGUUAAAGAAUGUUGUGUAACGUUAUCCAAUAAAGUCUUUGUUUUUUUUUUUUUU